GGCUUUCCGCAUUAAUUUAUUUGUUAUCUUUGAGAAGGAAAAGGAAAAAAAAAAAAGCCAAAUCAGAAUCCUGGGUCAUGAUGCCCCAAGCCAGGGUGGUUUUAUUUUCCCCAGGUUUUUUAAGGUUAUCGAUUCUUCUUGUGGGUGAGACUUGUAUCCAGUUCAUAAGAACAACUGUUUCUUGUGGGAAAGAAACAGAACAAACAGGCAGCAGAAGAAUGUGUUCUGGGCGUUUUUCAGGUUUGCCCUCUGCAGUCCUUCGGGUUGAGCUGAUUUGAUGUAGCUAAACCCUUGGCAGAGGGCUCCUGUUUUCCAGCAUCUGGGCCUGAGCUCCGUGGAAAGGGCCAAGAGCUGGUGGAGAGUUCAUACUCUGUGACUUUGCGAGAGAUCUUUGAGAAUGCUAUUCCUCCACAGAUGACACCGUCCCCUUCCUGAGAAUCUCUGCUGGGCUCCCAUUUAAAUAUUCAAACUAGACCAGUGAUUCCCCUUCCAGGCAAAAAAAGAAAAAAAAAAAAAAAAAAAGCCGCCAAGUUCCUUGAAUUAGAGAACAAUGAUAACAACAAUAAUAACAAUAAUAUUCUAUUAUCUUCUUAUACAUAAAAUAGAAAAAUAACAUCAACACAACUCACAUUUAUUCAGUACAAGGUGGCAAAACUCUCUUCUACUGACUUCUCUGGUGAUUCAGGGGCUUCGACCCCACAUUCCCAAUGCAGGGGGCCUGGGUUCAAUCCGCGGUCAGGGAACUAGCUCCCACAUGCUGCUCCCGUAUGCUGCAAUGAAGGCUGAAGAUCCCAUGUGCAGCAACUAAGACCCGGUGUAGCCAAUUAUUAAAAACAAAGAAACAAAAAACCCUUCUUCUAAAUUAACAUUGGCUUCCCUAACCCAUGUGCCCCUUCUUGCUACCUGUGCUUUUAAACAAAUGGGCACCAGGACAUCUUCUGGGUAAGAAAUUCCUGGAUCUUGGUGAUUCAGCAAAACUGACUGGGCACAGUCUGGUCUCACUUGCUCACAGGCCCCAAGGACAGAGGCCUCGCACCCAGACCUUCAGACCAGAGUUCUGAGUUGAAAGGGCUGCCCAGUACCUCAGCACCAAGCACAGCACUGCUAUUCAAGAUGGCAGCAGCUAAUGCAGAGACGCUGCCCGAGGCAUUGUGGUCCAGAGCCGGGAACUGGGCCCCAACCCCGCCCGCUCCCAGCUGGCAGGAUCUAUAAAGCAGCCCCACCUGUCUGAGAGACCGUGGACUCUAGAUCCAGAGCUCACAUCUUUUGGUUUUUUGAUCAAAGAAUAGUUUUUUCUUUGCUUCUAAACCAAACUCAGUCUCAUUCUGUUGGCUCUAAUGACACCAGUCAGGAGGAUCCUUAUUGGGGACUGACUUGGGAGGGCUGGCAACAAAACUGUGUUAUAAAAGAAAUUAGUCAGCGCAAGCAGACUUGGUCAGUAACAUUUUAUUUCCUGAUAAGGAGGACGGGGACCUGCUCUUGAGAAACACACUAAAAAAGCUGGGCCAAAAGACCCUGAAGCCAUUCAGAGGCGUUCACGCUCCAGCAGGAGUGGGGCCCGGGCCAUGCUGGUUUCAAGUUCCUCAUUGCUACAUAAAUGGCCAAAGGAAACAUUAUCCAAGUUUCACAUCAAAGGCUAAUGGCAGGCUGAUUUUCCUUUUAAUCUGUCCAAUAAGCAAGUGGGGAUUAGACAAUGUACAUGCUUAGGAAGACGACUUCAUGCUGCUCGAGUGGACUUGCCCAUGCUCUCGUCUCCAGCCUGUCCGCACUAAGGAGCAGAGUUGUGUGUGUGCAGCCUAGUGUCUCAGACCAGUGGAAGAGAUCCAUCAUCCGUGACGUUUAAUUCUCACACAGUAUCGUGUGGUGUGCAGGGCAGGAUUGAUCAUUUGGAUCCUACACAGGAGGAAGUGGAGGCCCGCAGAAGUUAUAUGACUUACCCCAAGACACACGAAUGCAGACUGGCCAGGCUGGGACCCCAGCUGAGGACUUUUGGUCACUUCUCUGACCCUCUGAUGCCAUGUGCUUUUCACUCUGCCGUGUUGCUAAUGGGCUAUUUCUCUGUGCAAAGUUGUCACUCUGGGUUACCUAAAGGACCUGGAAAAGGUCUGUUAUCCUUCCAUAAAUUGAAGGUACAUGCCUGGCAAGGAGUUACAGUGAGACAGCAGAGAAAACUAUCAGCUCUUGGCUGAGUUGCCAUAUUAGACCGUGAGCUUCACGACGGCAGUUACCAGGCCUGGCUCGCUCUGUAUCCCAGAACCUGGCAUAGUAAACACCUGCAGAGGGAGGGAAGGGGAGAGAAUGGGAGGGACGAAGGGAGGUUAAUUUCUUAGGAUCACUGGCCUGCUGUGUUGGCUCCUCUCAUUAGAUUAUCACAGGUGCUCGAGAUGAGUCCUAGGAUAGGACUUUGCAUAAUAUGAUUUUUCUGGUCUCAUUCUGGCUGCAUUAG
Long non-coding RNA from Bos taurus (domestic cattle), 2446 nucleotides. Lineage: Eukaryota; Metazoa; Chordata; Mammalia; Artiodactyla; Bovidae. The record is from Ensembl.